RNAcentral lists this transfer RNA (74 nucleotides) under Nitrospina gracilis 3/211. RNAcentral's name for it is "Pseudo tRNA". The stretch from base 6 to 63 matches the Rfam family "tRNA", at positions 9 to 63 of the family's 71-position model. From Rfam's summary of the family: Transfer RNA (tRNA) molecules are approximately 80 nucleotides in length. The record is from RNAcentral. Lineage: Bacteria; Pseudomonadati; Nitrospinota; Nitrospinia; Nitrospinales; Nitrospinaceae.
CGCCAAACGCAGCUUGGCAGCGCAUCUGCUUUGGGAGCAGAGGGUCGGAGGUUCAAAUCCUCUCGCCCCGACCA